GAAGCAUUGAGGAGAAAACAUCCUCAAGCUAUUCUGAAAAUUUAAAUGGGUGAGAAGCUUAACUCACUUAAAUGGAGUUUUGCAUUGAAUGUGAGUGCCAAGUUGGCUAUUUUCGGCAAGCAGAACUGGCGCUGUGGGAUGAACCAAAUAUGCGGUUAGGGUGCCUAACGCGACGCCCAUGAGAUACCCCAAAAGGCAUUGGUUGGUCCAGACAGCAGGACAGUGGCCAUGGAAGUCGGAAACAGCUAAGGAGUGUGUAAAAACUCACCUACCGAAUCAACCAGCUCUGAAAAUGGAUGGCACUCAGGGGUGGUAGUAGCAAAUAUUCAAGUGAGAACCUUGAAGGCCGAAGUGGAGAAGGGUUCCAUGGGAACAGCAGUUGGCCAUGGGUCAGGCGGUCCUAUGUGAUCCGGUAAAUCGGAACAGAGACGGGGUGUCUGACAUUGUCUGCUUGGGGGCUUUGUUAGUACUGCUGCUAAAUUGUACUGUUGCAACGCAGCCCCCUGUAGCAAAAGGGAAUCGGGUUAAUAUUCCUGACCCCGUGUCCAUGGAGACUGGUGCACGUUGGAUCUUUGAUUCAGUGUAUGCCCUGCAACUUGUUAUUAAUUUUAAUACUGUUACUCUUAUCAUUUGUUCCAUGGUUUCUGAAUGGAACGUAGAAGUUCAGCAGUACAUUUGAAUUUCACUGGGUUAUCUGCCAACAUCUUCAACUGACUCCAUGACCGCUUACAAGCU
This 735-nucleotide non-coding RNA is filed under the name Trichobilharzia regenti. Its description in RNAcentral is "Eukaryotic large subunit ribosomal RNA". It matches the Rfam family "Eukaryotic large subunit ribosomal RNA", at positions 1024 to 1790 of the family's 3401-position model. Lineage: Eukaryota; Metazoa; Platyhelminthes; Trematoda; Strigeidida; Schistosomatidae. The record is from Rfam by way of RNAcentral.